CGACCGGCGCACGGGUGAGUAACACGUAUCCAACCUGCCGUCUACUCUUGGACAGCCUUCUGAAAGGAAGAUUAAUACAAGAUGGCAUCAUGAGUCCGCAUGUUCACAUGAUUAAAGGUAUUCCGGUAGACGAUGGGGAUGCGUUCCAUUAGAUAGUAGGCGGGGUAACGGCCCACCUAGUCUUCGAUGGAUAGGGGUUCUGAGAGGAAGGUCCCCCACAUUGGAACUGAGACACGGUCCAAACUCCUACGGGAGACAGCAUG
RNAcentral lists this ribosomal RNA (263 nucleotides) under uncultured bacterium. RNAcentral describes it as "partial 16S ribosomal RNA". It matches the Rfam family "Bacterial small subunit ribosomal RNA", at positions 92 to 353 of the family's 1533-position model. The record is from RNAcentral.